This 2742-nucleotide ribosomal RNA is filed under the name Escherichia coli. Its description in RNAcentral is "partial 23S ribosomal RNA". It matches the Rfam family "Bacterial large subunit ribosomal RNA". The record is from RNAcentral. Lineage: Bacteria; Pseudomonadati; Pseudomonadota; Gammaproteobacteria; Enterobacterales; Enterobacteriaceae.
CAUAGGUUAAUGAGGCGAACCGGGGGAACUGAAACAUCUAAGUACCCCGAGGAAAAGAAAUCAACCGAGAUUCCCCCAGUAGCGGCGAGCGAACGGGGAGCAGCCCAGAGCCUGAAUCAGUGUGUGUGUUAGUGGAAGCGUCUGGAAAGGCGCGCGAUACAGGGUGACAGCCCCGUACACAAAAAUGCACAUGCUGUGAGCUCGAUGAGUAGGGCGGGACACGUGGUAUCCUGUCUGAAUAUGGGGGGACCAUCCUCCAAGGCUAAAUACUCCUGACUGACCGAUAGUGAACCAGUACCGUGAGGGAAAGGCGAAAAGAACCCCGGCGAGGGGAGUGAAAAAGAACCUGAAACCGUGUACGUACAAGCAGUGGGAGCCUCUUUAUGGGGUGACUGCGUACCUUUUGUAUAAUGGGUCAGCGACUUAUAUUCUGUAGCAAGGUUAACCGAAUAGGGGAGCCGAAGGGAAACCGAGUCUUAACUGGGCGUUAAGUUGCAGGGUAUAGACCCGAAACCCGGUGAUCUAGCCAUGGGCAGGUUGAAGGUUGGGUAACACUAACUGGAGGACCGAACCGACUAAUGUUGAAAAAUUAGCGGAUGACUUGUGGCUGGGGGUGAAAGGCCAAUCAAACCGGGAGAUAGCUGGUUCUCCCCGAAAGCUAUUUAGGUAGCGCCUCGUGAAUUCAUCUCCGGGGGUAGAGCACUGUUUCGGCAAGGGGGUCAUCCCGACUUACCAACCCGAUGCAAACUGCGAAUACCGGAGAAUGUUAUCACGGGAGACACACGGCGGGUGCUAACGUCCGUCGUGAAGAGGGAAACAACCCAGACCGCCAGCUAAGGUCCCAAAGUCAUGGUUAAGUGGGAAACGAUGUGGGAAGGCCCAGACAGCCAGGAUGUUGGCUUAGAAGCAGCCAUCAUUUAAAGAAAGCGUAAUAGCUCACUGGUCGAGUCGGCCUGCGCGGAAGAUGUAACGGGGCUAAACCAUGCACCGAAGCUGCGGCAGCGACGCUUAUGCGUUGUUGGGUAGGGGAGCGUUCUGUAAGCCUGUGAAGGUGUGCUGUGAGGCAUGCUGGAGGUAUCAGAAGUGCGAAUGCUGACAUAAGUAACGAUAAAGCGGGUGAAAAGCCCGCUCGCCGGAAGACCAAGGGUUCCUGUCCAACGUUAAUCGGGGCAGGGUGAGUCGACCCCUAAGGCGAGGCCGAAAGGCGUAGUCGAUGGGAAACAGGUUAAUAUUCCUGUACUUGGUGUUACUGCGAAGGGGGGACGGAGAAGGCUAUGUUGGCCGGGCGACGGUUGUCCCGGUUUAAGCGUGUAGGCUGGUUUUCCAGGCAAAUCCGGAAAAUCAAGGCUGAGGCGUGAUGACGAGGCACUACGGUGCUGAAGCAACAAAUGCCCUGCUUCCAGGAAAAGCCUCUAAGCAUCAGGUAACAUCAAAUCGUACCCCAAACCGACACAGGUGGUCAGGUAGAGAAUACCAAGGCGCUUGAGAGAACUCGGGUGAAGGAACUAGGCAAAAUGGUGCCGUAACUUCGGGAGAAGGCACGCUGAUAUGUAGGUGAGGUCCCUCGCGGAUGGAGCUGAAAUCAGUCGAAGAUACCAGCUGGCUGCAACUGUUUAUUAAAAACACAGCACUGUGCAAACACGAAAGUGGACGUAUACGGUGUGACGCCUGCCCGGUGCCGGAAGGUUAAUUGAUGGGGUUAGCGGUAACGCGAAGCUCUUGAUCGAAGCCCCGGUAAACGGCGGCCGUAACUAUAACGGUCCUAAGGUAGCGAAAUUCCUUGUCGGGUAAGUUCCGACCUGCACGAAUGGCGUAAUGAUGGCCAGGCUGUCUCCACCCGAGACUCAGUGAAAUUGAACUCGCUGUGAAGAUGCAGUGUACCCGCGGCAAGACGGAAAGACCCCGUGAACCUUUACUAUAGCUUGACACUGAACAUUGAGCCUUGAUGUGUAGGAUAGGUGGGAGGCUUUGAAGUGUGGACGCCAGUCUGCAUGGAGCCGACCUUGAAAUACCACCCUUUAAUGUUUGAUGUUCUAACGUUGACCCGUAAUCCGGGUUGCGGACAGUGUCUGGUGGGUAGUUUGACUGGGGCGGUCUCCUCCUAAAGAGUAACGGAGGAGCACGAAGGUUGGCUAAUCCUGGUCGGACAUCAGGAGGUUAGUGCAAUGGCAUAAGCCAGCUUGACUGCGAGCGUGACGGCGCGAGCAGGUGCGAAAGCAGGUCAUAGUGAUCCGGUGGUUCUGAAUGGAAGGGCCAUCGCUCAACGGAUAAAAGGUACUCCGGGGAUAACAGGCUGAUACCGCCCAAGAGUUCAUAUCGACGGCGGUGUUUGGCACCUCGAUGUCGGCUCAUCACAUCCUGGGGCUGAAGUAGGUCCCAAGGGUAUGGCUGUUCGCCAUUUAAAGUGGUACGCGAGCUGGGUUUAGAACGUCGUGAGACAGUUCGGUCCCUAUCUGCCGUGGGCGCUGGAGAACUGAGGGGGGCUGCUCCUAGUACGAGAGGACCGGAGUGGACGCAUCACUGGUGUUCGGGUUGUCAUGCCAAUGGCACUGCCCGGUAGCUAAAUGCGGAAGAGAUAAGUGCUGAAAGCAUCUAAGCACGAAACUUGCCCCGAGAUGAGUUCUCCCUGACUCCUUGAGAGUCCUGAAGGAACGUUGAAGACGACGACGUUGAUAGGCCGGGUGUGUAAGCGCAGCGAUGCGUUGAGCUAACCGGUACUAAUGAACCGUGAGGCUUAACCUU